Macaca mulatta (Rhesus monkey) is the source of this 3323-nucleotide non-coding RNA. The record is from RefSeq and is a predicted model, not a curated record. Lineage: Eukaryota; Metazoa; Chordata; Mammalia; Primates; Cercopithecidae.
UCUUGAGCUCAAGUGAUCUGCCUGCUUGCCUUGGCCUCUCAAAGUGCUGGGAUUACAGGCAUGAGCCACCACACCUACCUAAAAAGCUUUGAGAGGCAAUCACCAACUCUUCAGGGGGCACUCUGUUUAUACCCAUGAUGAAUUAUGACUCCAUCUCUAUAGGUGCUGUGGAACUGCUUAUGGAUAUGGUUAUGGUGAGUAAUAAUCAUAACAUUAAAAAGGUACAUAUACAUAUAUUGCAUGUUCACACACACAGACAUGCAGACACAAAGUCUCCCAUACAAACAGUCAAAUGAGGACAGGUAAGUAUAAAUCUCAGCAUCCAGAGGAAAAAACAUGUAUGUAAUAUUAUUAAAGAUGUAAGUGAAAUGAUGUGAUACUUGUGCUAUCAAAAUGAUUUGAAAUGGAAUAAGGAGAGAGAGUAGAGUAUCAAUGAAAUAAGAUUGGACAUGAGUUGACUGUGGUUGAAAUUGGAUGAUAGGGAUGGUUAUAAUUCUUUGAGCUCUUACAUAUUGAAAUUUUCCAUAAUAAAAAAACGUUUUUUUAAAAAAUCUGUUAAGGCAGAGAGACCCAGAAAACAAAAAGAUCUCUGGGAAUGUCUAACAGACUGGCUACAAUGGAAGUUUCAGGAAAGCAGAAAUUUUGCCUGUCUUUUCUACAACUGUAUCUCUUGUGCUUAGAGAAGUUGAUAGCACGUGGCAGGUUCUGUUGUUGAAUGAAUGAACGUUGGAGAAUAAAACCCAUAACCUAGGUGACAGUCUGUCAGCUCAGACAAAGUCAAGAAUCCUGGGGUUCACUCACCUGUCACACUACAAAUGGCAUUUGUUAGUUAUUAUAAGAAUAAAUAACCACUCCAAGAGAAAGCAGAUUCACAAACUUUCACCAUGGAUUUCAUAAGUAGAUAUGCACAUGUUUAUAUGCAUAUGAUCCCACCUAGAAAGCUGCUAUCGUAUCAUUUCAUUUCAUUCCUUUUUUUCCCAACAAAUAUUUAUUGUAGAGGUAUCUCUGUCCUUCAAGCCAAAAAUCAGGGAAAAAAUCAGAAAAGAAAUCUUAUUUGCUUACUAAUUGAAGUGUGGAAAGGCACAGAUAAUCUUUUGAAGAAAAUUCACCUUUGCAUAUUGUUCUUAGUUCCUUAGUAGCCUUGGGACAAAACUGAAAAAGGUAAUGAUGUAGAACCUUAAUUAGGGCUUUUGAAAUUUGAGGCCUUUUUUUGUUGUUGUUGUUGUUGUUGUUGUUGAGACGGAGUCUUGCUUUGUCGCCCAGGCUGGAGUGCAGUGGCCGGAUCUCAGCUCACUGCAAGCUCCACCUCCCGGGUUUACGCCAUUCUCCUGUGAGGCCAUUUUUAUUGGGGGUCAGAACCUAAGCCAGGAAAACAACCAAUAACAUUGCAAUAACAAACAUCAGGCAUAAUGAAAUGCCCUUAGGAGACACUGUCGAAAGUUUUGAAGCUGCACUGUCCCAUCCUCCAGACAACAAAGAGAAAAAACAGUCUGCAACACCUACAAACAAUAGUACAUAAGUUAGGAAGAGGCUAGGUUUGGCUGCAGUAAUGAACAACAACAAGGGUUCAUUCCUCUCACACCCUGCAUGUCCAUUACAGGUUAGCUACACCUCUACUCCACGUGGUCCUCCCUCCAGGUCCCAGACUGAUGGAGCAGCCUCUGUCUGUUUGGAACAUUGUCAGUCAUAAUGGUGGACACAAAAGAGAUUAUGGCAAACCAUGUUUUGUCUCCUACAAUUUCUGCUCACUUCUCUCCACAUUUCAUUGACCAGAGCAAGUCAUGUGACCAAGCCUGAUUCAAAAUAGGCUGGAGCAAGGAGGAGCAGCAAACAUAACAUUCCCAGUUUACAGCUGAGGAAAUUAAGCUUCAAGUUGCCCAAGUGUAUAGAAUGAAUCAAUGGCAGAGGUUGAACUCAGCUCUAAGACAUUUGCCUCCCUUGAGCCAAAUCCUUGCCAAGGCCUAUAGGAAGGUAGGAGAAGGUGGGACCUUGACCUCUGUUGGGGACUCUGCUAUGAGAAGUUGGUCCACGACUUGCUCCCCCAUGGAUUAAGCAAACAAAUGAAGAACAGUGGUACUGGUGGCUUCUGAACCUCCUUAAUCCUGAAUAGAGUUUGGUUUUCACAGAUCUCUGGGAAGACACCCUUCCUUCAACAAAGUUGGUAUAGCACCAUAUGAGAGAGUCUUAGAUUUCAUUGACUCCCAAAAGUCCAAGAAGUUUAAUGGGGAUAAUGAGUAUUCCCUGCUCAUACUAGUUAUCUGUUGCCAUCUAAUGAAUUACUCCAAACCUUAGGGGCUUACUUAAAGCAACAAACAUUCAUUACAUCACAGUUUCUGUGUGUCAUGAUUUCAGGAGCUGCUUAGCUGAGAGGUUCUGGCUCAAAGUCUCCUGUGAAGUUGCAGUCAAGAUGUCUGCUGGGACCCCAGUCAUUUGAAGCCCUGUCCGGGGCAGGAGAAUCUAGGUCCAAAAUGGCUGUUGCAGGAGUCCUCAUGCACACCAUGUGGGGCCUCUUCAUAGAUGUUCGAAUGUCCUCAUGGCAUGGCCACUGGCUUUCCCCAAAGCAAGCAGUCCAAAAGAGAGUAAGACAGAGCCCACAAUGUCUUGUAUGAAUUAGCCUUGGAAGUCUAACACGGUUACUUCCACCACAUUCAUUAGUCAUUAGGUACAGCUCACAUUCAUGGGGAGGAAAAUCAGGGCUUGUCUUUAGAUAGAAGAUGUGUCAAAGAAUUUGUGGACAUAUUUUAAAAUCAUAGCACUACUGUUGAUGUACUAAGUCCGUGACUCCCCCAGGAGUCUCACAGAGAAUUGACUGCUUGCCCACCUAUAUUACCUUUGUGGGUAGAGACUCCAGUAGUGUGCUGGUUAAUGUUCAACCAGUGGCUUUCUAUAAAACAAAAUGUAUGGAUACAUAUAUAUGUUCUAAGUUUUACUGAUAUGAAGAAUGUGUAGCACAGAAUUUACAAAUAAUAAGAUAUACAGUAUUAUUUAUUGUAAAUUCCAUAGAACCUAUUGUUUUUCACAAAAGGUUUUAGUUUAUUUUUCCCAAAUGCUUGUAUCGGUAACAUUUUCUAUAUCACUUUUUUUAUGUCCAGACAAUCAACAAAACAGUGAAAAAGCCCAGCCUUGUAGCAUUUGCCAGUUAUUGUGUAAAUGUCCCCACCAUGGUGGAUUUCAAGUUACCACUAUGAGAUCACAGAAUGCAGAAUUGGAAAGAGAUUCACAGCAGCACCCCAUUACACUAUAUUUUCACCAUACAAAUGCAGUUGAUGUAAAUUAACUGAGGAGCAUAAAUAAUAAUAAAAUGAAGUUAAAUAAUUAGGAAA